Long non-coding RNA from Hypanus sabinus (Atlantic stingray), 672 nucleotides. RefSeq lists it as uncharacterized. The record is from RefSeq and is a predicted model, not a curated record. Lineage: Eukaryota; Metazoa; Chordata; Chondrichthyes; Myliobatiformes; Dasyatidae. The transcript is spliced from 3 exons.
UUGCAGUCGAGUCGAGUGGUAGGUAGACCGGUUUCCCCCGCCGAAGAGGGUCCGGUUAAACACCGAAAAUAAAAUCUGUAGAUCAUGGAAAUCCGAAAUAAAACGCACAAUACAUAUUGGGACAGCUCAGCAGAUAAGGAGACUGAAGAAAUCUGAUGUCCCCUCUGACCCUUACCAUUUGUUAUCAGUACACCAUGGAAAGCUUCCAUCUGGGAGCACAUCACAGAAACCUCCAUAGAUUCUGUCUAUACUUCUUACUGACUCGGUGAAACAGGCAACAUAAGCAGAAAACUCAUCUGACUGGAUGUUCUUCUUUCUCUCCUUCUCCCAUUGAGCUUGAAAAUUUGUAUCACCAGGCUCAAGCAUAACUUCCUCCUGGUGUUAAGACUAUUGAUUGGUCCCCUAGUAAGUUACACAUACUCUGGCAAUCACGGAUGACUGGUGAUUUGGAAUGGAAACCUGACCUGUGCUUCUCUUCCUUUCCUUAAGGUAUGUAUAUUAAUUAUAGCAUCCUAUUGCCACUGAUGUAGAGCUUGGAAGAGCUACCUCAGCUUGGACAGGGGGAUGAAAUGUGGAACUUUCUAGGACUGUACUGCUCAGCCACUUGCUGAGCGAUUGCAUUUUAAUCGUAAAAACAAUUUUCUUUCUCUUUUCCUCCUUCUGUAUUUCUGG